This 1505-nucleotide ribosomal RNA is filed under the name Salmonella enterica subsp. enterica serovar Typhimurium. RNAcentral describes it as "bacterial LSU rRNA". It matches the Rfam family "Bacterial large subunit ribosomal RNA", at positions 1 to 1351 of the family's 2925-position model. Lineage: Bacteria; Pseudomonadati; Pseudomonadota; Gammaproteobacteria; Enterobacterales; Enterobacteriaceae. The record is from RNAcentral.
GGGUUGUGAGGUUAAGCGACUAAGCGUACACGGUGGAUGCCCUGGCAGUCAGAGGCGAUGAAGGGCGUGCUAAUCUGCGAUAAGCGCCGGUAAGGUGAUAUGAACCGUUAUAACCGGCGAUACCCGAAUGGGGAAACCCAGUGUGAUUCGUCACACUAUCAUUAACUGAAUCCAUAGGUUAAUGAGGCGAACCGGGGGAACUGAAACAUCUAAGUACCCCGAGGAAAAGAAAUCAACCGAGAUUCCCCCAGUAGCGGCGAGCGAACGGGGAGGAGCCCAGAGCCUGAAUCAGCAUGUGUGUUAGUGGAAGCGUCUGGAAAGGCGCGCGAUACAGGGUGACAGCCCCGUACACAAAAGCGCAUGUGCUGUGAGCUCGAUGAGUAGGGCGGGACACGUGGUAUCCUGUCUGAAUAUGGGGGGACCAUCCUCCAAGGCUAAAUACUCCUGACUGACCGAUAGUGAACCAGUACCGUGAGGGAAAGGCGAAAAGAACCCCGGCGAGGGGAGUGAAAAAGAACCUGAAACCGUGUACGUACAAGCAGUGGGAGCCCCACCACUAAGCCAGUGGUGAACUCCACAUCCGCAUCCUUUGCUGAGGAUACGGUUAACGGAGCGAAAGCGACGUUCAACCGCAAAACAAGCAGAGGGGGCUUAGUGGUGGGGUGACUGCGUACCUUUUGUAUAAUGGGUCAGCGACUUAUAUUCUGUAGCAAGGUUAACCGAAUAGGGGAGCCGGAGGGAAACCGAGUCUUAAUUGGGCGUUAAGUUGCAGGGUAUAGACCCGAAACCCGGUGAUCUAGCCAUGGGCAGGUUGAAGGUUGGGUAACACUAACUGGAGGACCGAACCGACUAAUGUUGAAAAAUUAGCGGAUGACCUGUGGCUGGGGGUGAAAGGCCAAUCAAACCGGGAGAUAGCUGGUUCUCCCCGAAAGCUAUUUAGGUAGCGCCUCGUGAAUUCAUCUCCGGGGGUAGAGCACUGUUUCGGCUAGGGGGCCAUCCCGGCUUACCAACCCGAUGCAAACUGCGAAUACCGGAGAAUGUUAUCACGGGAGACACACGGCGGGUGCUAACGUCCGUCGUGAAGAGGGAAACAACCCAGACCGCCAGCUAAGGUCCCAAAGUCAUGGUUAAGUGGGAAACGAUGUGGGAAGGCCCAGACAGCCAGGAUGUUGGCUUAGAAGCAGCCAUCAUUUAAAGAAAGCGUAAUAGCUCACUGGUCGAGUCGGCCUGCGCGGAAGAUGUAACGGGGCUAAACCAUGCACCGAAGCUGCGGCAGCGAACGUAUCACCCAAGACAACUUUACGGAGUUGACGAUUGACGGAGCGAAGCGACGUCAAAGCGUUCAUUAAAGUCGAGUUGGCUUAGGGAUACGUUCGUUGGGUAGGGGAGCGUUCUGUAAGCCUGUGAAGGUGUGUCGUGAGGCAUGCUGGAGGUAUCAGAAGUGCGAAUGCUGACAUAAGUAACGAUAAAGCGGGUGAAAAGCCCGCUCGCCGGAAGACCAAGGG